Molecule: RNA transcript, 4087 nt
Organism: Ricinus communis (castor bean)
Lineage: Eukaryota; Viridiplantae; Streptophyta; Magnoliopsida; Malpighiales; Euphorbiaceae
Exons: 14
Source: RefSeq, a predicted model, not a curated record
CGUUCAGCAGUGCAGCACACGUAAUAGUUCCAUCCUUUUUACUGUAACUGCCGACUCGUUGGCGCCUUCAAACCUAAAACCCUUCGGUACCUUCAAUUUCAUUUUCUAUCAGUUUCGCUUAUUUUUCUCGUAGUUACUUAAAUGAUUCACUGUCCCGAAUGAUCGCCUCUACUUCUAUAUUUCCACCUCCGAAAGGCAUCUCUGUUUUCAAUCCCACUUGUCUCUAUUCCGCCGGCGGUGGCGGUGGAUUGUUCUGUUCUGUUCCUUUAGGUCGUGGAUUAAAAUUGAGUUUCCGCGCGGCGGCGGUGAGGAUGGAGGUGAUGAAGAGAAUGAGCGGCGGAUGUUUUAAAGGAGGAAAUGGAAAAACGCUUAAGGUUGAAGUUGAUAGCGGCGGAGAAGAUGUUUUUGAUGCUGCCGCUGUUGAUUCUGCUGUUCCCCCUAAUCAUCUUGUCAUUAUGGUUAAUGGAAUCGUUGGGAGUUCUGCAGACUGGAAGUAUGCUGCAGAGCAAUUCGUGAAGAAAUUUCCUGAUAAAGUAAUAGUGCACCGCAGUGAAUGCAACUAUUCAAAACUUACAUUUGAUGGUGUUGAUUUGAUGGGUGAAAGGCUAGCUCAAGAGGUGUUGGCUGUUGUCAAACAUAAGCCUGAGAUGCAGAAGAUCUCUUUUGUGGCUCACUCGCUAGGUGGUCUUGUUGCGAGGUAUGCUAUUGCGCGGCUGUAUGAAACUUUACCAAAAUUGGGUCUCUCUAGUGUUUCUGGUGAUUUCUUAAGUGAAAAACAUAUGAAACGAGUGGAAUGUACUGAGCAGCCUUGUGAAGCAAGAAUAGCUGGAUUACAACCCAUGAACUUCAUAACAUUUGCAACACCACAUCUUGGCUCAAGAGGAAAUAAACAGCUCCCAUUUCUCUGUGGUCUGCCUUUUCUCGAGAGAAGAGCAUCUCAAACUGCUCAUUUAAUUGUUGGGAGGACUGGAAAGCAUCUCUUUCUCACUGACAAUGACGGUGGGAAACCUCCCCUUCUCCUGCAAAUGGUUAAUGAUUCUGAUGACCUGAAAUUCAUAUCAGCUUUACGUGCAUUUAAGCGCCGUGUGGCGUAUGCAAAUGCAAAUUAUGAUCAUAUGGUUGGGUGGAGGACUUCAUCAAUCAGACGUCAGCAUGAACUACCAAAGCCCAACCUUCUUGUAACGGAUCAGAAAUACCCACAUAUUGCAUAUGUUGAGCUAGAAACUAUGGAAGAAGGCUAUAAUACAGCACCGACUGUCACUAGGGAACAAACAACUGAUUUGGAAGAGGAGAUGAUAAAAGGUCUCACUCAAGUACCUUGGGAACGCAUAGAUGUAAGCUUUCAUAAAAGCAGACAGCGGUAUAUUGCUCAUAGUACAAUUCAGGUGAAGACAUACUGGUUAAAUUCUGAUGGAGCAGAUGUCGUUUUUCAUAUGAUAGAUAACUUCCUUCUCUAGCUAUCCAUGAGUUGGUUUCUUCCAACUGGUGAUCUAAUACUGGGUGAAGGAACCAUUUCAAAUGGCUUUAAAUGUUGAGUAUCAUCAAAUAGAGGGAAAGGAGGAGAAAAAUGAGAAAGAACACAAAAUUGCAUUUGAAGCAAGCGAAACAGUUUUACAACCAGUUUGGACCUUUUUGGAUAUAGAUUAUGUCUUAUUAUUCUGCAAAUUCUUACCAUUCCACUGUGGUUGGUUCUGCACCUCAAGUGUCUCUUUAAGCGCAAUGUGCUUGUUUCCCCUUUAGCACACCCUUUAGGAACCUGGUAUGCAAUAUGGAGUUGAGGGAAGAUGAGCUUCAAGAGGAUGAAUAACCUCGCAGACAAGAGUUGCAUAGAAGAAUUUACCUUCUUAUAUAGCUGAAUAAGGUUACAAUCAUCAAAAGGUAGAUAGCCAGCAAGUAGUUCAAAAAGGAUUACUCCGCAUGACCAAACAUCUGCGGCUGCUCCAUCAUAACCCUUAUUUGUCAGAAGCUGUUCAGCAAAAAGAUGAAUCAUCAGCUUCAAUGCUGAGUGAGGAAUUCAGGUAUGUGUUUCUUUCUGAGGAAGGCUAGUCUGUAUUUUCAACUCUCUUCUUUUCUCACAUGUUACUAUCAGGAAUCAGAUCUUAAAAACUGUAAGGAAAAGAAAAGAUAACUUGAAUCUAGCUUCUAACCUCAGGUGCUACAUAGCAGGGAGAGCCACAGGCUGUAGUUAGAAUAUCACCAUGCUGUCAAUCAAUGAGUUCUUAGCCAACACUUGUGAAAAUUUUUUUCAAACUAGGUUCUACUGACAAUUGGCAUGCACAGGAAAAAUAUUGCUAGGUUGUUGGUACCUUGUGCAAUGCACUUAAUCCAAAGUCUGAUACUUUCAGUCUUCCGUGAUUGUCCAAGAGCAAGUUUUCUGGCUGCACGCAAGAUGAUUAGUUAAUUAGCUAAGUUAUUUCUAGAAAAUUGGCAAAUACCGCCAAGUAGUAAUAUCUUAUUGACCUUUAGGUCUCUGUGAUAAACUCCUCUGUUGUGACAAUAGUCAACUGCAUCUAUCAAUUGCUGGAACAUCUUUCUUGCCUCUGAUUCAUUCAGCUUCUUGGAAUAUGACUGAGUAAUCAGGGGUUAUGGGGAUUAGAGACACAGAAAACAUUAAGACUGCCUCAAAAGUCAAAAAUACCACUUUUGAAUGGCAGGUGUAGUUCCUCACCAACUUGUCCGAUAGUUGUCCUCCUGACACAUAUUCCAUUACAAUAUAGAUUUUCGUCUUUGUGCCAAUAACCUGUGAUUGCAAUUCAACACAAAGAAGGGAUAGAAGAUGCAUGAGCAAGAGGGCUUCUAACUAUUAGGGGAAGAAAUUUAGUUAAGACCACAUGCAACUGGAAGGAAACCUCGUGUAUCCUAACAAUAUUAGGGUGAUUCAGGAGCUUCAUGUUUCUGAUUUCCCUUUGUACCUGAAAUUAACAUUUUCAUCUAUCAGAAUGAAACAGAUUGAAUGUGCAGAGCAAGCAAAUUGCUAUCUUCCUAAGGGAACUCGUUUGCAAUAAGAAGAAAGGUAAGAACAAAUCAAAGAUGUGGAAAUUAACCUGGGACUUGAGAUUGCUUUCUACAGCCAUGUGCUUAUCAAUGAUCUUGAUUGCAACAUAAUGUGCAGUGAUGCUAUCUACAGCUAGUUUAACCUUGGCAAAUGUUCCUUCUCCAAUUGUUCUGCCAAGAUGAUACUUCCCUAUGUUGUUUGCAAAUCCCAUUUUCAUAUAACAACCGUUCUUCUUGCCAAAAUACUCCUUUAUUCUUUGCUUAAUCCCUGCUUCUUGUGGAUUAUGGUAUUUAUACUCCUCGCAAAUGUUCUUUAUGUAUGCUGUGCCUUGAAUUCCUGUGAAAGAUGAAAGCAAUUUGACUUGGUUUAGGGGACAACUCGUGCUUGUUCCUCACAGCUGCCAUACUUGUGGUUCCUGUGCCUCUUUUAAAAAGGAGUGAUAUAAAAGUCUUUAGACGCUCAAAUGCAUAAAUAUAUUUGUGAGGUUUAGAAAGGUUCAUACUUUGCAGCUUUGCAUGGAAGGGGAGAUGACCAGUUGAUAGUUGGCUAGUUUGGCUAGUUGGUGAAUGUGUUUUGAAUGGAGGUUAGAUGUUCGUGUCUGGACUAUAGCCUCCAAGCAAGGUCAAUUUGUGGAUUAUAAAUAUUUAGCGGAAGGAGCCAAGUUAUUUUGCAUUUUAGUAGGGAAGUUUCUUUCAUCCCGUAACACAAAUAUAAAUGGAAUGUGACAUCAAUGCUUUAGAUAUAUCUCUUGAUGGAGCCGAGGGAUGUAGACAUACUUCUCGUUCAGGCUAGGUAAACAGGACACGAAACUCCUAAUUUCCUACCAAGUGUUUCCUAGGUCACUUGCCCUUGAAUCAACCAAUCUUUUUUCUUAUUUAUUUCUUUGAAUGCUGAAGUACAUACGACUACAUGCAUAUUAAUCGUCAAGUUUUCUUUUUUUACUCAAGUUGAAAUAUGUAUCUACUGUGAGGUUAAGUCUUUGCCACGUGAGUAAGAGUCUUGUCUCUUUUUUUAUUCGGGCAUAUAUGGGUGAAUAGUUUGUGGUUUUCUUAAUACAAUUAAAGCUAGUGACAUAUGGAUAUGUUUGGAAUA